ACGGUUAGCAAUAACUGGUGGCGACCGGCGCACGGGUGCGUAACACGUAUACAAUCUACCUUAAACAAGGGGGAUAGCCUUUCGAAAGAGAGAUUAAUACCCCGUAAUAAAUUGAACGGCAUCGUUUGAUUUGAAAGCUCCGGCGGUUUGAGAUGAGUAUGCGUCUGAUUAGCUAGUUGGUGAGGUAACGGCUCACCAAGGCGACGAUCAGUAGGGGACCUGAGAGGACUAACCCCCACACUGGUACUGAGACACGGACCAGACUCCUACGGGAGGCAGCAGUAAGGAAUAUUGGUCAAUGGAGGCAACUCUGAACCAGCCAUGCCGCGUGCAGGAUGACGGCCCUAUGGGUUGUAAACUGCUUUUAUACAAGAGAAAACCCUGGUACGUGUACCAAGUUGAUAGUAUUGUAAGAAUAAGCAUCGGCUAACUUCGUG
Molecule: ribosomal RNA, 437 nt
Filed under: uncultured bacterium
Lineage: Bacteria
Description: bacterial SSU rRNA
Rfam family: Bacterial small subunit ribosomal RNA
Source: RNAcentral